UCUUGCAGGUAACCUGCUGUUCCUGGCUGUGGUCAGCCAUUUUGGGGCGAAGCUGCACCGGCCCAGGCUGAUUGCUAUGGGCUGUUUCCUAACGGCUGUAGGAUCCUUCCUCACAGGCCUGCCACACUUCUUCAUGGGACGAGAAGGGAUUAAGAGAUGCAGAGAAGAGACCAGAAGAUGAAGCAGUGGUUCCAACCAGUGUCCACCCCUCAAGGGCCCACUUAACUGCCAAGAGCUCCCGGUUGCCUACAUCGUAGUUCCCUUCCGCUGGCGAGAACCGCUUGGAGAGUGUUGGGGAAUAAUCAGAAUUGGUUGGUAACAUAGAGGAAAUUUCCACGACAAGAGAAAGGCGCAUGGGUGCAGUUCCUUGUCCUCAUUCCGCUGUGAAAGGACCGCACCAGAUCCGGUGUCCGAGGCGUCCACCUCUACCACAAAGGGACGAGUAGGAUCAGGAUGAACGAGGAUGGGUCCGAAGGUGAAACGUCCCUUAAGCUCUAUGAAUGCCCUGUCAGCCUCGGGAUUCCUGCAAAAACCUGCUUGAGUGAGGUGGGAUAGGGCCGUAUGUGUUCCGGAAGAGUUUUUGGAGAAGAUCAGGAUGUCGUCGAGGUAAACAAAGGCGAACCGGUUCAACAUAUCCCUAAGAGUGUCAUUGAUCAAUGCUUGAAAGACUGCCAUUGAGUUCGAUAUUCUGAAGGACUAAAUACUCAGUCACCACUAGGGGUGUUAAAGACAGUUUUCCACCCAUCUCCCUCCCUGAUUCUCACCAGAUUUUAAGCGUUGCGUAGGUCCAGUUUGGUGAAGAAUUGGGCUCCUAGGGCCAACUCCAAGGCAGCGGACAUUGGGUAGGGGGGAACAAUUCUUGAUCGUAAUCCUUUUUAGCCCUCUGUAAUCGAUGCAAGGACUGAAGUUUGGGUCAGAGACAGAGAGACAAGGGAUGCAUUUAGACAGGCAGCCCAAUUAUGAUAUUUUUUCCACUAAUAGGUCUUUUGAACAAUCGCAUUAGAUAUUUUCGCAUCAGCUGUUUUUCAGAGCAUAUCUGAUUGCUCAAAAUACAAAUUACUCAAAAAAAUUACUGAAUUGGGCUGCUUGUCUCAACGAAGCCAUAGAAACCUGGACAUGCUCCAGCUGAAAUGUUCCCUCCUGUCAGUACUGAUGUUGAAUGGCAUUAAAUACACUUUUUUUGUUCUCUCCCAUCCCCUGUAGUUUUGUUGAACAUGAGUGGAAAUGAAACUCCAGCACACUGGUAGCACUAAAGACGUCUGAGUAUAACUUU
Molecule: long non-coding RNA, 1273 nt
Organism: Oncorhynchus kisutch (coho salmon)
Lineage: Eukaryota; Metazoa; Chordata; Actinopteri; Salmoniformes; Salmonidae
Exons: 3
Source: RefSeq, a predicted model, not a curated record